This 3837-nucleotide ribosomal RNA is filed under the name Triticum aestivum (bread wheat). Its description in RNAcentral is "partial small subunit ribosomal RNA". Lineage: Eukaryota; Viridiplantae; Streptophyta; Magnoliopsida; Poales; Poaceae. The record is from RNAcentral.
CGAAAAGGUGCCGAGCCGAGCGAGCGGGCUCCCCUUUUUUUCCUCUUCUCCCUCUCUCUCUCUCUCUCGAGCGGGCGAGCUCCUGCGGGCAAGGAGAAGGAGGCGUUCUUUAUCCGCGUUUGUGUUGUUGUGUCACCUCGGUUGCCUUAGGGGUUUAGCUAGAGAGCAGAGGCCCGGCUCUUGGGGGUUAAGGGUCAGGGGUCGGGGGUAAGGUCAGCGGGACUAGGAGGGGGCGUCCGCUAAGCAGCCUCAAGCGGCGGGGAGCGCCGGGGCGGCCCAAGACACUAAGGCGGAGCCCCUAGAGAGGCGACGAGCGGCCGGUCGGUACCGCGGCCGAAGCCGAGGCCGAGGCCGCAACCUGCAGCUCCCGCUCCAGCCGCCGCCGUUGUCGGUCUUGCGCGACUUCAGGCUUCGGCUGCCCCUCGCAAGGCAGCGAGGGUUCUGCCCUCCGCCAAGACACGGACCACUUAAGGCGAGUCUACUGGGCCGGUGUCUACAGACACUCCUGCCAUAGCUGAGGAGUCUACAGGGACGGGACCGACACCUACACUUGCCGCUCCCGCCGCCCCGGUUCCUCUUAGACCCGUUCCACGCCCACUUUAGGCUCGGCCUCGUGAAACUCCCGCUUCCGCGGCAAGAGCGGGGAACGUGGCCCGGACGCCCACGGUUAAAACACCCCUAUCGAAGGAGGAGGAGGAUAUUUGACGGACACCGUUCAGGCCUCCUGAGCUGACUGCUCGCUCCUCCCCUAUCGUGUCUCACGAGCUCGAGCAAGCGUCUGAGACCACUACUCCGUCCGUUACCACUGGACCUUCACUUAAGAGGGAAAAGUCAAGUACGAUUACCGCCAGUUUGGAGGCGCUACGGGUCUUCCUUUUUCCAUUGACGGCUCACCUCCUUACGCCAGGCGGGUUACGACACCUCUACACUCACCAAUCUCGACGCGUACUUCCUAGAAAAUAGAGUUCAUAGUUUCAUACUGUCGGUCGAACGAGAGUAGCUCGUCCUUUUUCUCAACGUCUCUCGUUGUUCGUUCUGUUUACCAACAUCCGUUCUUAGACCCUUCUUGACGUCUCUGGUACUUUGAUAAUCGUACCUCUCCUCUUUCGCGUUUUCUGUACUUCUGUGGCACCUGUGUAGUAACAUGGAGUUCUUCGUGUUCUAUAAUAGUAUGAAGAAACUAUUCGUUUUGUUCCCUCGACUGCGUCUACCGGAGAAUUAACUACUACUAUCAGUACCAGUUCAACCCCUACUAUGAUCUGCGGCGGAGCUUUAACAACCAAACGGACGCAGGUUCCUUAUACUAUACCGAAGGUUGGUUAAACACAAUGUUUUUCAAGAGUACUUUUAACCACCAUAGGUCAGAGCUCAAGUAGCAGAUGUUCUCGCAGAGUCGUUCCGAGCGAGAUUUGUUCGUUUCAACCGUAGAAAGUACCUAGUACUGGUCCAGUUCCACCGACUCUUCUCCGUUUCCUAUGUUUUUGCACGUAAGAGAGGACUCUUACUAGCUAUACGAUUCGGUGUCUUUUUCUUCUUCGAUUUGUAAAACGACCUCGUCCUCCUAUCUGGUUGAGACAGUCAUUUAGGGUGUAACAGACUCUCCCGUUGACUAACAAAUUAUCUUCUAGGUGUCCCAUUAUCACUUCUUUUUCGAGAUCUCUCCUCGGUCCGUGUAUUCUUUCUGUAGUGUCGCCUAGAUGAAGAUCGACAACUUUCAAGGAAUGGUUUACCAGUAAACCCUCUAAACACGUUUCUUUUGUGACUACUAUAGGAGUAUCUGUUGGUUCCCCGGUUUCUACCCAUAGUCGGCAAACUCUUGUGGUUCGUAGGGGGACUCCUUGGUGGACACGAAUAACUCUUACAACGAUUUUGACGAGGUAGCUUUCAACCCUUAUGGAGACUUGGUCACCUUCGGCUCUUUUCAAACCAGGGUGACCAAUUCGUUCUUCAUUGAUAACCUUUUGACGGUCAAAACUUCGUACAGAUGAGACCUUUCUUUGCACCUUCCUGUGGGUUCUGUCUUCUAUACCUGAGACGUCGACGUAGGUUCUUGGUGUUAUUUCUCCGGAGGCUUUGUGGAAGACGUUUCGUCUUUCGACUUCGUUGUGGGACGCGACUUUUGCUCUUGCGACCGAGUUUCUUCGUCUUUUGUCACCUGUAAGCCAGAGGAAGUUUAUUCAGUUUGAGACCCUUAAGAACAAGUCGACGUCUCUUCGACUUUUAACCUUUGAGUAGGAGUCGACGUUUCCGCGUCUUUAGACCUUCGAGUAGGAGUAGGCGUUUCCGAGGUUUUUGUCCUUUGAGUAGGAGUCUACCUUUAUUCGUCCGUCGACCUUUGAGUAGUAGUCGACGCUUCUUCGGUUUUUACCCCUUGAGUAGGAGCCUACCUUUCUUCGUCCGUCGACCUUUGAGUAAGUGUCGACACUUCGGUUUUUGUCCUUUCAGUAGAGGUCUACCUUUCUUCGUCCGUCGACCUUUGAACAGGCGUGGACGUUCCUGCCUCUACUCACUUUUGUAGGUGUGGUUAGAAUCCUAACUCUUCCGAUAGAACCACCUCCACUUGUCGUCCUCCUCAGUUUCCCAUGCUUUCGGAUUCCAAAUGACUUCGUUUUGGCCUGACGAGUUUAAGUCCCAUCACAUUAAUACUUUUUGUCCAGAACAAAUAGUUAGAUAGGGAAGGCAGAACGACUUCAAGCAUCGAUAUAACUGUCGCCGAAGAGCGUUUCAUUAAAUCACAUCUAUAAGGAUUGGAAAAGCAAACCCAGUGGUUUGAUUUUUAUACGAAGAAUACAUAUCAACAAGAAACGACUCGAACACUACGUUUAUACGAACGUGAACCACAGAGAGAUGACGUAACAAACAAGUCAAAACUGUGAAGGUCAACAUAAGUGGAUCGUAAACAAAGGAGGGAACCAACCACUACAAACUCAGUCCGGUCUGGAGGUGGGAAGAUGAUGAGGCAGGGUGUUAUAUUCUAGCAAAACGCUCGACAAAAUCGAACGUUCUGCUAGAAUAUAAUGCCCUGCCUCAUAUAACGUCCAACUUCUGCUAUUUUAAUACACGGGGUAUUAAGUAAUCAACUCCGCUUAGUCAGACGGGAGGACUACCUCUGUUACUACUAACUAUUGUGGUUUUCUAGUUGGGAACGUGGAAGUCAACCAGUGAACUGUGUCUGACGGUUUCUUCCGAAUUAAGGGUAAGUUUUUCUCUUCCGAAUUAAGAGACACUGUCUCUUAGUCUCCUGUCGCUCCUCAUUAGAACCUAAAUGACCAGCCUUAUAAAUGGGAAGAUCCUUCUCUCCUUUAACCACAAGUCUUUUCGAAGUUCGACCGUCUUUUUCAACGUAACUAUUACCUUAUUCGCGUUGGAAAGGAAAGUAUCCAUGUAGGAAGAUUGGUUAUGAAAAUUGUCAAACGUUGGACACUAUAUCGAGUACAGUACCUCAUCUACACAGGAUCGAAAUACUGGCAAGUUUGAGUAAGCAUUCGCAGUCGUACGAAAAGACACAUGUAAACUACCCUCGUAUGAUCUAUAUACCAGACAAACACCGUAUUGAUUUAUCUCAGUAUAACUUGACGACUUCUAAAGUUCUGGUCCAUCCAAUAGAGAGAAUAGCGUAUGUCGACUUCUUCAAGUCGGAAAAACGACACCCUCCACGCACUAUCACUAGACCACUUCCUACGCCUCUGAUGUCGAUUGCCGGACUGACCACGUAGGCCACUAAAUGACAACUUCUCGUAAUGAACAUUAUUUUAUAGGAGUAUUUAAACUUUAAUUCAUUAGGACCAUUUGAAAUUAGUCUAACAUUUCUCGAUUUUGAAACACCCUUCUUCAAAA